UGAAACCAGAAAAAGACUGUCCUCUCCCAGCAUAGAUAAAUGGUGUAGAUACAAAAGUAAUAAUGAUGAACGAAAAAGAUAAAAAUGAAAACAAAAAUGCAGGCUUAUACAAAAAUGUAAUGUGAGAAGUCAAUUUCAUUUCCCACGAGACUUGCUUUCUUUAACAGGAACAAGAGUUACUUUUUUGCCAGAAUUGAUAGUUCUAGUCUCUGCUUGUCUUAGCACUGAUAUUGCAACUUGAUGUUGAUUUUCAUUUGCCUGGUCAUCUGUAAAUGGUUUCACCUCAAAUGCCCCCCUAGCGAAACCUCUAGCAACCUUUAAAAAAAUCCAGACUUUGAGAGAACUACUCAAGAUUGCAAGUCUUGUCCUUUUCCCAGUAGUUAAGUAGUUGCACAUGUGAUGAUCAACCCUCAAAACAAAUCUUGGCCAGGUCUUGGGGUUUUCAGGGUCUGCCUUCUGGUCCAUCAAUGCAAGCAAUCGGCAAAUUUCUUGUUCAAUCUUUGAAAAGGAGGUCUCUAAAGCUUCAACUCUCCCAGUAGCGUGACAGCAAGUGCAAGGUUCACUAAUCUUAAAAGCGACACUAGGUCUAACCCUUUUUCUAGUUAUUUCCAUCAGUCCAUGCUUUGACAAUUC
This 633-nucleotide unclassified non-coding RNA is filed under the name Hevea brasiliensis (rubber tree). The record is from RNAcentral. Lineage: Eukaryota; Viridiplantae; Streptophyta; Magnoliopsida; Malpighiales; Euphorbiaceae.